RNAcentral lists this unclassified non-coding RNA (222 nucleotides) under Bartonella sp. Its description in RNAcentral is "partial 16S-23S ribosomal RNA intergenic spacer". The stretch from base 77 to 150 matches the Rfam family "tRNA". The record is from RNAcentral. Lineage: Bacteria; Pseudomonadati; Pseudomonadota; Alphaproteobacteria; Hyphomicrobiales; Bartonellaceae.
GCCUUGCGAAGGUUUAUAAGAAAACGUUAGUUUUUUAUCAGAUUGUACCGGGGAAGGUUUUCCGGUUUAUCCCGGAGGGCUUGUAGCUCAGUUGGUUAGAGCGCGCGCUUGAUAAGCGUGAGGUCGGAGGUUCAAGUCCUCCCAGGCCCACCAUUUAUAGUUGCUUAUGAGAGUGUUCUGAGGUUUUAAAGCUCUUUGUUUGAGUUUAUGCCGUUUUUUUUU